Molecule: ribosomal RNA, 253 nt
Filed under: uncultured bacterium
Lineage: Bacteria
Description: partial 16S ribosomal RNA
Rfam family: Bacterial small subunit ribosomal RNA
Source: RNAcentral
UACGUAGGGGGCAAGCGUUGUCCGGAUUUACUGGGCGUAAAGAGCGUGUAGGCGGCCACGCAGGUCCGUUGUGAAAACUGGAGGCUCAACCUUCAGACGUCGACGGAAACCGUGUGGCUAGAGUCCGGAGGAGGAGAGUGGAAUUCCUGGUGUAGCGGUGAAAUGCGCAGAUAUCAGGAAGAACACCAAUGGCGAAGGCAGCUCUCUGGGACGGUACUGACGCUGAGACGCGAAAGCGUGGGGAGCGAACAGG